AACGAACGCUGGCGGCGUGGAUAAGACAUGCAAGUCGAGCGGGGUACUAUUUGUAGCAAUACCGGUAGUGCUCAGCGGCGCAAGGGUGCGUAACACGUGGGCAACCUGCCCGGAAAUGGGGGAUAGCUCGUCGAAAGGCGAAUUAAUACCGCAUGUGGCGAAGGGUGACAUCACCUUGUAGCUAAAGUCGGGGCAACCUGACGUUUCUGGAUGGGCCCGCGGCCUAUCAGCUAGUUGGUGUGGUAACGGCGCACCAAGGCUAUGACGGGUAGCUGGUCUGAGAGGACGACCAGCCACACUGGAACUGAGACACGGUCCAGACACCUACGGGUGGCAGCAGUCGAGAAUUUUUCUCAAUGGGGGAAACCCUGAAGGAGCGACGCCGCGUGAAGGAUGAAGGUCUUCGGAUUGUAAACUUCUGUCAUUGGUGAACAAGGCCCACGCAGUAACUGGUGUUGGGAUUGAUAGUAGCCGAAGAGGAAGAGACGGCUAACUCUGUGCCAGCAGCCGCAGUAAAAC
Molecule: ribosomal RNA, 519 nt
Filed under: uncultured bacterium
Lineage: Bacteria
Description: bacterial SSU rRNA
Rfam family: Bacterial small subunit ribosomal RNA
Source: RNAcentral